Atractiella rhizophila is the source of this 73-nucleotide non-coding RNA. NCBI's taxonomy places the organism in Eukaryota, Fungi, Basidiomycota, Atractiellomycetes, Atractiellales, Hoehnelomycetaceae. The record is from the annotation of a GenBank genome assembly.
GGGCUUGUGGGAAAGUGGUUAAUCCGUCCCCCUCCGGAGGGGAAGAUCCUGGGUUCAACUCCCAGCAGGCUCG